AUUGAACGCUGGCGGCAGGCCUAACACAUGCAAGUCGAACGAGUGGCGGACGGGUGAGUAAUGUAUGGGAAACUGCCUGAUGGAGGGGGAUAACUACUGGAAACGGUAGCUAAUACCGCAUACGAUCAGAUGUGCCCAGUUGGGUUUAGCUAGUUGGUGGGGUAACGCCUCACCAAGGCGACGAUCCCUAGCUGGUCUGCGAGGAUGACCGGCCACACGGGAACUGAUACACGGUCCAGACUCCUACGGGAGGCAGCAGUGGGGAAUAUUGCACAAUGGGCGCAAGCCUGAUGCAGCCAUGCCGCGUGUAUGAAGAAGGCCUUCGGGUUGUAAAGUACUUUCAGCGGGGAGGCGUUACCCGCAGAAGAAGCACCGGCUAACUCCGUGCCAGCAGCCGCGGUAAUAC
This 406-nucleotide ribosomal RNA is filed under the name uncultured bacterium. RNAcentral describes it as "partial 16S ribosomal RNA". It matches the Rfam family "Bacterial small subunit ribosomal RNA", at positions 30 to 526 of the family's 1533-position model. The record is from RNAcentral.